GUAGUCUGCAACCCGACUACAUGAAGCUGGAAUCGCUAGUAAUCGCGGAUCAGAAUGCCGCGGUGAAUACGUUCCCGGGUCUUGUACACACCGCCCGUCACACAUGGGAGUCGGAAAUGCCCGAAGUCUGUGACCUAACCGUAAGGAAGGAGCAGCCGAAGGCAGGUCGGAUGACUGGGGUGAAGUCGUAACAAGGUACC
This 200-nucleotide ribosomal RNA is filed under the name uncultured bacterium. Its description in RNAcentral is "partial 16S ribosomal RNA". It matches the Rfam family "Bacterial small subunit ribosomal RNA", at positions 1300 to 1500 of the family's 1533-position model. The record is from RNAcentral.